GGAGGGUCCAAGCGUUGUCCGGAUUUAUUGGGUGUAAAGGGUGUGUAGGCGGGCUUGUAAGUCAGAGGUGAAAUCCUACGGCUCAACCGUAGAACUGCCUUUGAAACUGCAGGUCUUGAGUCCUGGAGAGGUUGUUAGAAUUCGUGGUGUAGCGGUGAAAUGCGUAGAUAUCACGAGGAAUACCGGUUACGAAGGUUGACAACUGGACAGGUACUGACGCUGAGGCACGAAAGCGUGGGGAGCAAACAGGAUUAGAUACCCUGGUAGUCCACGCCGUAAACGAUGAUCACUCGGUGUCGCGGAGCAAUCUGCGGUGCCUAAGCUAACGCAUUAAGUGAUCCACCUGGGGGAUACGAUCGCAAGGUUG
Molecule: ribosomal RNA, 367 nt
Filed under: uncultured organism
Description: partial 16S ribosomal RNA
Rfam family: Bacterial small subunit ribosomal RNA
Source: RNAcentral